ACUCCUACGGGAGGCAGCAGUAGGGAAUCUUCCACAAUGGGCGCAAGCCUGAUGGAGCAACACCGCGUGAGUGAAGAAGGGUUUCGGCUCGUAAAGCUCUGUUGUUAAAGAAGAACACGUAUGAGAGUAACUGUUCAUACGUUGACGGUAUUUAACCAGAAAGUCACGGCUAACUACGUGCCAGCAGCCGCGGUAAUACGUAGGUGGCAAGCGUUAUCCGGAUUUAUUGGGCGUAAAGAGAGUGCAGGCGGUUUUCUAAGUCUGAUGUGAAAGUCUUCGGCUUAACCGGAGAAGUGCAUCGGAAACUGGAUAACUUGAGUGCAGAAGAGGGUAGUGGAACUCCAUGUGUAGCGGUGGAAUGCGUAGAUAUAUGGAAGAACACCAGUGGCGAAGGCGGCUACCUGGUCUGCAACUGACGCUGAGACUCGAAAGCAUGGGUAGCGAACAGGAUUAGAUACCCUGGUAGGAUAGCG
RNAcentral lists this ribosomal RNA (473 nucleotides) under uncultured bacterium. RNAcentral's name for it is "bacterial SSU rRNA". It matches the Rfam family "Bacterial small subunit ribosomal RNA", at positions 335 to 801 of the family's 1533-position model. The record is from RNAcentral.